Podarcis muralis (Common wall lizard) is the source of this 2485-nucleotide long non-coding RNA. RefSeq lists it as uncharacterized. NCBI's taxonomy places the organism in Eukaryota, Metazoa, Chordata, Lepidosauria, Squamata, Lacertidae. The record is from RefSeq and is a predicted model, not a curated record.
UGCCGCUGGAGCACAAUUUCUGUUCUCAUCCUGAAAGCAAAGUUCUUAACCCGAGGUAAUAUUUCUGGGUUAGCGGAGUCUGUAACCUGAAGCUGUAACCACUGUACCCAUCUGCUGACAAACCUCUACAUAUCUGCAAUAAAAGCCACACUAUCCUUGUGUGCUGCAGAGAGACGAGCUACUUUGUUGCCGGGUCACCGAAGCUCAUGUCCGCAGACCCCUCUGGAGAGUUUCACCAGGUGGCUACUUGAGGAUGUGAACAAGGAUGCCAAGUAGACCUUCACCUCCUACGCCAUCUUAUAGUACGUAUCAUUAUGUGCACUAAGUUGUGUUCACUCAACUUCUUGUGCAGGUCUUGUGCCACUCAUGCUCUAGACAUCAUUUGGCCUGUUUCAUUGCCAUCAGUGACUCAAGGGCCUCAACUGGAUGGCCAGCUCUAGCCACUGGGAAAUCCCACCCCCACUAGAGCACACAGGCAGGCAUCCAUUAGAUAAAAUUAGUUUCUGGGGGCAGACUACCCAAAGAGGUCACCCUCUCCUGCAGGGAGGAAUUGCUGUUGCAAAGCUUAACUGAGCAGAAGUGUGGCUCUUUUUAGCAAGUCAUCCAUAAAUUUAAAAGGUGCUCUUGAUAAACUGGACAGAAGAUUUAAAAUAUAAGUAUAUGCUUUUGUGGUAUUUUUAUGCAUUGCGAUUCGCUGUUAUUUUUAUUGAUUAUAGAUUAGUAAUUCUUAUUGUAAUUGAUAAGUGUAAACUGUUUAAUUAUUAUUUGCUGCUGUUUAAUUUUACUGUUUACUAUUAGAUCUUAAUGGCUUAUCCAGUAUUGUUUAUUUGAUAUAAGUUGUUUGUUUUAAGGUUACUGUGACAUUUUUUAUAUCGGAUCAGAUUGUUUUUAUUAAUGUUUGGUGUUUUAUUAUAUUUUUAUAUGUUUUUGAAGCCACCCAGAGUGGCUGGGGCAACCCAGACAGCUGGGCAGGGUAUAUAUUAAAAAAUAGUAUUAUUAAUAUUAAAAAUGCAGAUUGCAAGCAUCAUCUUAAGAGACACUUAGCAUUUACUUCCAAUUCCACAGAAUGCUGCUUCUAAAGAAGACUGUGACAAGUUAAACCAGGAGGGGUUGGAGAAGGAAUUAUAGCAGAAAAGGAGCAAGUGUGAUAGCGGUGAGGAGGAUGCGCUGGGAAGACAGUCUGAGCGCAGCACCGACCAGGCAAAAGGCAUCACUGCUCUCUGGCUUCCCCCGAUGGGCAUCCCUGAUUUAGACAGCAGGAUCCAGUCAUUCUAAAGGCAAGCAAGAGCAGAAGUGUGGCCCGCAGGAUCUGCGUUGGAAAAGGGGAUACGCCUGAACUGGGCAAAAGCCAGAAUGCGGGCAAUAUGUCCUCAAUGAACCAUGGAACUGUAGAGUUGGAAGGGACCACAAACAUCCCGUGUAUCAAAGACCAUGUGCUGAAUUGACAACAUUGGGAAAACUGGGGUUUCCAAAUGGUCGAUGAAACCCAGGCGCCAGUGUACGCUGCAAUCCUGACCCUAUCAAGAUCUGAUGAAAUGUUAAUAUUCAAUGUACUCAGCAGGACUUCUUCCUGACUAUAUGUAGUUAGGAUUGCACUGCCACUCAGAAGUUUGAUGAGGGCAGCCAGCCAGGCAGAAUAGCUCUGACGCGGUUUCUCAUUGGCCCUGUGCCUUCAGCCAUAAUUAGGAAAGUCACUACACUGCUACUAAGGGAGGGGAGAAAGCGGGAAACGUGCGGCAUUAGUCAGCAAUAGCCAACCGUUUGAUCUGUUUGCCACACAACAGCUUAUGAUCAGGAGCAGUCCAUAUGGGAUAGAUGACUUUACAGCAUAUCCUUCAAGUCUCACAGGUAAUGUUUACCCACCACAAUGUUGCAUAAUAUUUGUUAUGUUGUUUGUGCUCAUCACACUUGUCAUACGACAAAUGCUAAAUUUGCUUUCAAUAGAGCCAAAAGCCCAGUGGAAGUAUGGGAUCUUUUCACUAUAAAGGAUUUUAAGAGGAAUCUGUUUGGAUGGCUUUAGUCUGAAAAAUACUACCAUUUCUAGCAAUUGCACUAGAUGACUCUUGACAAAUGUUUGAACCAUGACCUGGCCUCACCACAUCAGAGUUCUCACCUUAUUUGAUUUCUUGCUUGUUGCAGAACCUGGUCGUGUAUUACUAUUCAACUGUGAUGAACUUGAGCUGUCUUCAUCCUCCUCGUCCUCCUCUUCAUCAAAGUUCAUGCUACUUGAAAUGCCUACGGGACAUGCAUCACAUUUACAGAUUUAAAAAAGGCUUUAUAAUAUUCAGUUUGAAUAUACAUCUCAAUUGCUAUGAUAAUUCUCUGAUUUUCAGAGACGGCAUACUUUUGGUGACUGGAUUCUAGGUAUUUACAACAGAAGAUGGAAACCGUCUUUUUAUUGUUAUUAUUUAUCAUUUUUAUUUGUCGUAUAGCAAUCUGAAACACGUGUAAUGCAACAAAUAAACAUUAAUACAGAAUAACAAGA